This 497-nucleotide ribosomal RNA is filed under the name uncultured bacterium. RNAcentral describes it as "partial 16S ribosomal RNA". It matches the Rfam family "Bacterial small subunit ribosomal RNA", at positions 28 to 507 of the family's 1533-position model. The record is from RNAcentral.
GAUGAACGCUGGCGGCGUGCCUAAUACAUGCAAGUCGAGCGAACGGACGAGAAGCUUGCUUCUCUGAUGUUAGCGGCGGACGGGUGAGUAACACGUGGAUAACCUACCUAUAAGACUGGGAUAACUUCGGGAAACCGUAGCUAAUACCGGAUAAUAUUUUGAACAGCAUGGUUCACAAGUGAAAGACGGUCUUGCUGUCACUUAUAGAUGGAUCCGCGCUGCAUUAGCUAGUUGGUAAGGUAACGGCUUACCAAGGCAACGAUGCAUAGCCGACCUGAGAGGGUGAUCCGCCACACUGUAACUGAGACACGGCCCAGACUCCUACGGGAGGCAGCAGUAGGGAAUCUUCCGCAAUGGGCGAAAGCCUGACGGAGCAACGCCGCGUGAGUGAUGAAGGUCUUCGGAUCGUAAAACUCUGUUAUUAGGGAAGAACAUAUGUGUAAGUAACUGUGCACAUCUUGACGGUACCUAAUCAGAAAGCCACGGCUAACUACGUG